CUACGGGAUGCAGCAGUGAGGAAUAUUGCACAAUGGGGGGAACCCUGAUGCAGCAACGCCGCGUGGAGGAUGACGCAUUUCGGUGUGUAAACUCCUUUUAUAUGUCAAGAAAAUGACGGUAGCAUAUGAAUAAGCGCCGGCUAACUCCGUGCCAGCAGCCGCGGUAAUACGGAGGGCGCAAGCGUUACUCGGAAUCACUGGGCGUAAAGGACGCGUAGGCGGGUUGAAAAGUCAGGUGUGAAAGCCUACAGCUUAACUGUAGAACUGCACUUGAAACUCUCAAACUAGAGUAUGGGAGGGGCAGAUGGAAUUAGUGGUGUAGGGGUAAAAUCCGUAGAUAUCACGAGGAAUACCUAAAGCGAAGGCGAUCUGCUGGAACAUUACUGACGCUAAGGCGUGAAAGCGUGGGGAGCAAACAGGAUUAGAUACCCCCGUAGUC
This 439-nucleotide ribosomal RNA is filed under the name uncultured bacterium. RNAcentral describes it as "partial 16S ribosomal RNA". It matches the Rfam family "Bacterial small subunit ribosomal RNA", at positions 339 to 795 of the family's 1533-position model. The record is from RNAcentral.